Non-coding RNA from Xyrichtys novacula (pearly razorfish), 5613 nucleotides. The record is from the annotation of a GenBank genome assembly. Lineage: Eukaryota; Metazoa; Chordata; Actinopteri; Labriformes; Labridae.
GGGGCUGUGUGAUCACAGACAAAGUCUCGGUACUAUUUAGUAGCAGCGCAUGCCUCUUGUAAUAACCCCGUAAGAACUGUUGUUCAGGACUGCUAACUUGUGCUUCCUACCAAUUCGGCUACUGUAAUAACCGUUGUUCGAGCCCACACGCAACAUUUUUGCUCUCAUUAAUGAAACGCUUAAAUCGGGGACAUUUUCGGGGACAGCUUUUGCCGGGGACAGGUCAUCCAAUACGGGGACUGUCCCCGGAAAUCGGGGACGUCUGGUCACCUUAUGCUAAAGGCCAAAAACGGCAGGUAUUAAACCAUAUAUUUUAGACCCUGAGUCCGAAGAGGAGGUGGAAGUUGAGGAAGAAGCCGGAGAUCUCCAGCGGUGUUUUCUCAUUCAUUCUGCCCGGCUUUAAGUUCAUUUUCCCGGCAGUGAACCGAAGGAAACACCGAUCGUUUGGAAGAGACCCAUAGCGGAUACAGCGGUAGCUGGGUCUCGCUCUGGCUGUGACUGAGUACGAGAACGAGAGAGUGGGCGUGGCUCAACGUCAACGCAACGUAACACCGACCUGCUUUUUCAAUUGGCCUGGUUUACUCGUUCCUUUUUUUUAAACUUUUACAGAAUGCAAACGACGUAACGGUUUGUUUUCACAUUUACAACAUAAGACGAACAUAAUAUGGACCUUAUCUGACACAAAAAAACCCCAAAAAUUACAUUUUUUAUGGCAGGUCCCCUUUAAAGAACAUACACCGCAGUCAGUGUUCUGGUUUUAGACAAAGAGUUUGUGUUUACAGGGCCAGCUCAAGGACAAGUGUUUUUAUUUUUAUUCGACUCAGUGUCAUUUAUUUUCAAACAUAAAGACAAUUUAGCAUUAGCAAAUAUGAACGUUGAGUUUAAUUGUCAGAAUAAUGUGUAUAAAUGUAUAUAGAAGUUAUCAUCGUACUCAAAUUCUUAUGUAAGAGUUUGCUACCCCUUGUUCCACGUCAUAUAAGAGUGUUUUCUAACUUCUCUCUCCAAUAGCUUUAUUACACAGCACAUGAGCGUUUCUUAACUUGUAUCCUCCACUGUGAAUCGUGGGAAGUUGAGCUAACCUGAACUCAGCGUUGACAGACGAAUGACGAAAAGUCAGCGAGAGAUUUUUCAGACUGGUGUUUAAUGAUAUUUUCCUGCUCCGUCUAUGAAGCUCGAUUUACUCUGUAUGAUAUUAAAAAUUAAAAAGCACCAUUAUGAUUUUUUUUUUUAACCCGUCCUUGAGGUUUUAUUGUCUUUCAUUUUUAAUCUGCCGUGUCUAUUCUGGUGCCAGUAGAUGCUCUCAGCUUUAUUAGGACACAACAGUCCCUUUAAAUUUGAUCAUGUAACUCAUUUUUACCCAAAUUAGUGGGCGGAGAGGGUCCGCUCAUACUGUUUUACUCAUUUAUUUCGGUCUCUGAAUCUGUCUUUGGUUGAAAUGAGCCAAAAAAUUUCUGUUUCUGUGGAAUAAGAGGCUCCAGAAAACAUUCCUCCGUUUGUAAAGUGUGUUUGAACAGCUCUCAGUCUUUGUGUUUCCUCUCUCUUUGUUUUGUCGCUCGCCCUCCUUCAUCCCUCAUUUGUGUAUCAUGUCCUUCCUUGUCUGUCUCUUAUUUACUAUCUGUCUGUCCUGUCUCAGUCCUCCCGUCUGCUCCUCUCUCUCCAUCUGUCUGUUUUGAAGAUCUGCGCUCACUCUUGAUUUACCGAGGUACACUAAGUGCAUACAAAGCCCUCCAAGAUUAGUGAUGCUAUCACACUCUUCUGCAUCGCUUCAGGGCAGAAAUCCCUCCUUAGGUUCAGUGGAGGACGGAUCCUUAAAAGAGGACCUCUUCAAUUUACAGCCUGACAAACACGCCAAUGCCACAAAGACAGGAGCUUUCUGAUGUGAGAAAUUAAACAGAGAAAUAUCGGCUGAUAAACAGCUGCUGAAAAGCUGUUUCUCCCUCACUCUGACCCUCACUUACAAAUCGGUCUUAUCUCAUACCACCGAGGAGCCGUGUUUUAAAAAUGCACCUCUAAUUAAACUUUAAACUCAGCUGCAUCUCAAACCCUUUAUUUGUCCAAUAGAGAUCAGGAGUAUCUAUAUUUAUAUAUAUUCUAUUCUAUUUAAAUCACCCAAGCUGAUAUAGAAGAGCCGCCAUGACUGUAUCUGUUCACGUCUUCUCUUUCGGUUUUAGUCUCGACCGUCUUUCCCAGCAUAGCUCCACCUACCUUCACCUCCAUGUCGGUGUAAUUAACCAGGAUAAUUCACACCUGAGGGGUGUGAUGAGUUUUUACCCUUUCGCUUAUUACAAAACAGUCGACCUACUUUAAUAACUCUGGACCGUGAUCAAGCUCGGUACUUUGACAUGUCAGAGUUUGAAGGUAAACCAAACCACCACGGCUCAAACCUUUGAAAUGUUUCAGCUCCGGGGCGUUUCACAGACGGGCUUGUUAUCGCACCUUAAUGGUGUAAUGAUGCUUAUGAAAUCAAGCUGUCAUUAAAGUUAGAAGAAGCAUCUGUGCUUGUUUGAAAUAAAAUACUGUAAAUAUAUCGGAGGUCAAUAUAUCAGUGAAAGAGACGUCAUUUAAGAGGUUAUAGAAGAGUUGCAGUUACCUCAGACUGAAAGGCCAUUUUCUCGACUACACUACGUUAAAACAGGAAUGACUCUGUAGUGGAAGUUUCUGCAUGAGCUCUGAAUCUGCUGUCUGUAAACAUUCUCCAGUUUAGUAAGAGAAAGGCCAAACAUGAUCUGGGUAUGUCGUAGACUUUUCAGGACCUGAACCUGGUUAAAUCGGGAGUUUCACCGCAUCCGGAUUGGCAAUUCCUACCGGAUCCGUUUGUGAGAUGAAUUUCAUGGCGGAUUACGGACAGCAGGAAUUGCGAGAAUUCACAAGAACCGGCGGAUUCAUGUGCAAUGAUGCGAUAACAAGUUGUCUUUAGACACAGAGGCUAACCAUAUAAGCAGUAGAUUGCGUCCUUCCAGAGGAGGAAAUCUACUUCUCGACUUCUAGAAUCAGCAUCUCCUCAUCCAUGGUGUCAUCGGGGUGAAAUGACCUCUGAAAACUUUCCGCCGUUUGCAUGGUGUGAAAUACGAUCCGCCUGAAACACGUAGUCUUUUAUUUUGAAAAGUCCGGAGUCCGGCGAUCCGCAGAGGAACGGAAAGAAGUCGGUGUAAAUUGACACGUUAACUUGAAUGGUUACAAUCAGCUACGAUCGGAGGAUACGACCUUUUCGUAGCCGUUCUGGAUGCCGUGGAAAUUGGGGGUUAAAUGUACUCAGGUGAUGUGGGGAACGUCCUUGUGGUCUGAGAAAUCUAGAUUUGACAUUCUUUUAGAAACCAUGGAGCUGCUCUACUGACUCUGAGGUAGACCGGGACUCACUGGAGACCCCAUUUUUGAGACCUGAAAAGCACUUCUGGGGAGAGGGAAGUCUGGUCUCUUCAGUUCCCAAAGGUUUUUACAGAGAGCCGCUAAAAGACGAGGUGAUGCAACACAACAGCAAACAAGCUGCUGCCCUGACUGUUUUGAAGUUCGGCGCUGGUAUCAGAUCUAAAUUUCAGAUUCAACAUUCGGGUUUUAAUGACAUGAAAUUCUAUGUUUUACAAAUAUCCAAAUCAGCACCUUAACCUUUUAGGAUUGGGACUUCGUAUUUCUCUGGAAGUCUCUUUGGACAGUCACCUCCAGGAUAGUUAUCGGGGGUGUUAGAUUAAUGGUGAAAUUCUCUAAUGUUUACUGACCCAUAUCAGUAAAUCUCUGCAGUCACAGCCUCACUUUGAGUAUGUGACCCUGUCAGAACAACACAGCACAAUCCUGCUGCUUCACUUAAUUUUUGAACCCAUAAAAGCUCUGUGUUCACUCCAUCAAUCCCUGGCCGGCUCCCAAAAUCAGAGCGUAUUAAAGGUGGCACCGUGUGCCCGUGUUGCCACAUACAAUCGGAGGCCGUCUGAAAUGUUUAUUGAAUUAUAUAUCUUCGAGGCUGCGUUUAGAGUCGCCUUUGUCACCGCGAGCGAUCGAUACGCUGGCGCUGCCGAGGCUAACAAGGGGCUUCGUCUGCUGUGGCCAGCACUCCCGCCUGUCACCAGAUGGUAUUUAUUACGUGCUUUGUUUUAACAUCCAUUCAGUAUGAGUGGAAAUCAAUUUUUCAUUUGGACCUAAUUGUCUCUGUGCACUGGCAGCUCAAGGCUCCACAGCCCAGAGCCUCAGCUCCCCUCGGUGUACCAGUGGAUGUGGGCCCUCCCCUCCUCCGUGGAGCUGUAUUUUAUACCUAAUUACAUAUGUCUGAGGCCCACAGGCGGGGACUACGAGGCUUUGGGGAAUAGCUCCUGUGAAGACGAGCUGAGGGGACUCUCUGUUGGUAUCUCUCUGGUAGGGAUUUAGUCAUGCUUACAGUAACUGUGUGCUACUUGGAAAGGGACUCGGUGACCCAGACUGGCUCUGCCUCUGGUGUUUUGCAUCGCUGCUGCUGAACGCCGGGAGAUGUGAGGAGCUGCCGAGCUUAAUGGCUAUGAUGAAACUUCAUGUGUUGCCGAGUUAGAUUAAGGACGAGACACAGAGGACUUUAUCUCACUGGUGACCCAGAAUGAGUUACAGCAGCAGCUCCCGGGUUAUGAUGCGGCUCCGAUUUUGGACCAGAACUUUUCAGUGUUUGUUGACAUGAUUCCUGCUGAGUUAGUUCAUAUUUUACAGUUCUGUUUGGAUAAAUCAAACACAAUUUUAAAAAACAUGGGAAUCCUUUUUCAUACUUUUGCAUCGUGACACAUCUUCGUCAAUAAUCCGACACGUUCAUUUCAUCAUUAACGUCCUUGACUGACACGCUCGGUACUUGACUUUCAGCCCUUUCCUUCACUAUAAUGACAGUUUUAUUUCCUGCUGACCAAAUGAGUCAAUCACGCCUUUAAUUCAUGACCAAAGGACUCUGGCCGUGUUCAUGUUGUCAAGAAUUUGACAAGGCACACUAAAGGCACACUAAAGGUCACACAAUUUAAAAUACAGAAAAUUUUGAGAAAUAAAACCAAAGGUUAAAAAAGGUUAAAAAAGACAAAAUAUGAAAAGACAAUCAAAGAAGAGUUCACAGGUGAAGUUUGGGGAGUCAGUUCCAGAGGAGAAGACUCUGUCCCCCUAAGUUCGGUGCUUUGUCCGAGGGCGUUGGUUUUUACAGUCGAGUCUGUCACAGCCGACACAGAGUAGACACAUUGUGAUUUUUUUAUUCCUCAAACUGAGGUGGUUCGAUCUUUUUUUUUAUGCUCUGUUGUGAGAAUAAAACUCAAACCGAACCUUUACGAGUCUCUCCGUUUUCACCAUCAUGUAAAGUAUCUGAUCCUCGCUUCAUUCAGUGUUUAUCAGGGCAUGAUUAUCGCUCACUGAGGGUGAAAAUCUGCGCAAUAGUGUCAUGGUUCGUGGUCUCCGGAGUCCCGCUGCGCUCAAGUCUUUGAGCUUUGACAUGAAAUAAAGUAUAACUGUCAAACAAGCUUUAAAUAAAGUGUUUUUUAACUCUCAGCUGUGUGAUAAUCAGCUGGUGUCACAUGAAAAUCCAAAAAGGUCAUUUCAGAGUAAAUUUAGUGGAAGUUUCUGCUCGGCUUGUUGGUGUUUUUGUUGUUUCUUGCGGACAGUGGAGCACGUGGGAUGUGGGUCUGUGGU